Molecule: ribosomal RNA, 468 nt
Filed under: uncultured bacterium
Lineage: Bacteria
Description: partial 16S ribosomal RNA
Rfam family: Bacterial small subunit ribosomal RNA
Source: RNAcentral
GACGAACGCUGGCGGCGUGCUUAACACAUGCAAGUCGAACGGAAAGACCCUGCUUUUGUGGGGUGCUCGAGUGGCGAACGGGUGAGUAACACGUGAGUAACCUGCCCUUGACUUUGGGAUAACUUCAGGAAACUGGGGCUAAUACCGGAUAGGAGCUCCUGCUGCAUGGUGGGGGUUGGUAAGUUUCGGCGGUUGGGGAUGGACUCGCGGCGUAUCAGCUUGUUGGUGGGGUAGUGGCAUACCAAGGCUUUGACGGGUAGCCGGCCUGGGAGGGUAACCGGCCCCAUUGGGACUGGGCUACGGCACAGACUCCUACGGGAGGCAGCAGUGGGGAAUAUUGCACAAUGGGCGGAAGCCUGAUGCAGCCACGCCGCGUGGGGGAUGACGGCCUUCGGGUUGUAAACCGCUUUCGCCUGUGACGAAGCGAGAGUGACGGUAAUGGGUAAAGAAGCACCGGCUAACUACGUG